Molecule: ribosomal RNA, 1252 nt
Filed under: Alloeorhynchus bakeri
Lineage: Eukaryota; Metazoa; Arthropoda; Insecta; Hemiptera; Nabidae
Description: 16S ribosomal RNA
Rfam family: Bacterial large subunit ribosomal RNA (bases 817-1183)
Source: RNAcentral
AAAAUUUAAUUAAAGUUUAUUUUUAGGAAUAUUUAAAUAGUUGCAAAAAAUAAUUGUUUGUUUAGUAGUUAUUAAUGAAAUACUUGUUAUAUUUAUAUAUUUUGUACAGUAGUGGGAAUUUAAAAUUAUUUAAAAGUAAAAUUUAUUUUUUGUACCUUUUGUAUCAGGGUUUAUUAAAUUAUAUUAAUUAUUUAAUUUUCCCGAAAUUAAUGGGGAUAUAUUAGAAUAAUUGUUUAUGUAGUAAUAUAAAAUUAAAUUCUAAUAUAGAGAUGAUAUGUCAUUCAACAUUAAUAUAUCUGGUUUUUUAAUAAUUGCAUUUAAUGCAGAGUAAAAUUUAUUUAUUUCUUAUAUUAUAAAUGUAUAUUUUACUUUAGGUAGAGGGGGAUUAGCUCUUCUAUCAAUCUAAAUUUUUAUUAUUAUUAAUAAGUUAUGUAGGAUUAGAAAUUUCCAUCUUUUAUUUUGUUAUAAUUAUUCUUAAUUUAUUAUUUAUUUUAAUAUUAUUAGAUUUUUAUUAAAAUAAAUCGUUUAAUUACUAAUUGAUUGAAAAAAUGAUAGAAUUAGUAAUUGUUUAUGUAUAUUAUAGUAACUCGGCAAAUUUAACCUUCACCUGUUUAACAAAAACAUGUCCUUUAGUGAAUUGAUUUAAGGUCAGGCCUGCCCAAUGAUUAAUUUAAUGGCCGCAGUAUUUUAACUGUGCGAAGGUAGCAUAAUCAAUUGUUCUUUAAUUGGGAACUGGAAUGAAUGGUUUGAUGAGGGGUUAACUUUCUUUAUUAUAUAGAAUGAAUUUAAUUUUUAGGUUAAAAAGCUUAAAUUAAGUUAAGGGACGAGAAGACCCUAUAGAACUUUAUAUAUUAAUAAAUUUAUUAACAUUUAGUGAAUAUUGUUAAUAAAUUUAUUAAUAUAUUUGGUUGGGGUGACGAAUAAAUUUUACUAACUUUAUUUAUUAUUUUUCAUAGAUAAGUGUUUUUAUGAUCCGUAAAUUACGAUUAUAAGAUUAAGUUACCUUAGGGAUAACAGCGUAAUUUCUCUAGAGAGUUCACAUUAAUAGAGGAGUUUGCGACCUCGAUGUUGGAUUAAAAUAAGUUUUGGGCGUAGUAGCUCAUUAACUAAGUCUGUUCGACUUUUAAAAUUUUACGUGAUCUGAGUUCAGACCGGCGUGAGCCAGGUUGGUUUCUAUCUUUAAAUAGAAUAAUACUUUUUAGUACGAAAGGACCAAGAGUAUAAAAUAAUUUUGUUGAAAUUGAUUAAUAUU